AAUAACUAACCCUUACCGGUCGAACAACCAUGAAACGUUCGUGAUUUAGAACUCCGGCAGCCUUGCGUUCUAGAAUAGCCUAGCUCGAACCAAUGUCCUCAACCGCGUGGGACAUUUAAAUCCGGUUACUACUUCCCUUGACGGAACCAAACAGCUAUCUCCACUUGGCACGCCAAUGUGUUCAUAGAAAAUCGAUUAGAAACGUUCUUUUCGGAAUUCCAACUGUACGUCUAACCACACUAACUCAAACGACGUCUUUUUUUUACUUAGCGUUGAUCUGACUUUAUGAGCUGACAAAAUCAUACUCUUAACGGAGAAGUAAUAAGUACUGGAAUUUAGGAGUUAAUUUACUCGGGUUCGUAACUCACGGGUUUUGGUGAGGCUAAUUCAGACCUAAAGC
This 400-nucleotide long non-coding RNA is filed under the name Gossypium barbadense (sea-island cotton). Its description in RNAcentral is "long non-coding RNA (GBAR_LNC021510)". The record is from RNAcentral. Lineage: Eukaryota; Viridiplantae; Streptophyta; Magnoliopsida; Malvales; Malvaceae.